This 253-nucleotide ribosomal RNA is filed under the name uncultured bacterium. RNAcentral's name for it is "partial 16S ribosomal RNA". It matches the Rfam family "Bacterial small subunit ribosomal RNA", at positions 524 to 776 of the family's 1533-position model. The record is from RNAcentral.
UACAGAGGGUGCAAGCGUUAAUCGGAAUUACUGGGCGUAAAGGGCGCGUAGGCGGGCGAAUAAGUUAGAUGUGAAAUCCCUGGGCUCAACCUAGGAAUGGCAUUUAAAACUAUUGGUCUGGAGUAUAGGAGAGGGGAGUGGAAUUCACGGUGUAGCGGUGAAAUGCGUAGAUAUCGUGAGGAACAUCGAUGGCGAAGGCAGCUCUCUGGCCUAAUACUGACGCUGAGGCGCGAAAGCGUGGGGAGCGAACAGG